GUGCUGUUUUGUGCUGUUUGGGCAAUCGGUCACUUGCCUUAAAUAAAGGAACCACUAAUUGUUUUUAAUGAAAAUUCAAUACUGCUCCAGCGGCUGGAGUUUCACUUCUUUAUAUUAAUUGCAACUAAUAGCAACGUUUAUACAGAAAAUGUGAAACACUGAUAAUUCUGCUGGCCACUGGAAAGCUAGGCAAUACAGAACUUAAAGGAGGCACACCCAGUCUGUCAUAUGCAGAUGGCAUAAAAACACGUGUGGCUGAAGCUAUGCGCUGUCGCUUUGACCUUAGCAACAACAGCAAAUGUGUUGUUAAUGCCACUCAGGCAUUAGGUCUAAGCAAAUGGCCUGUCGCAGAUGAAGACAAAAUAAGAGGUUUUUAUAAUUGUUCAAUGGGAGUUGUGUUGCAAGUUUCAUUUGCCUUCUGAUUAAUUGAUAUUGCCGUUCGAGUUCUGUUAGUAGUUCCAUUUGCCCGCUGACUAGCUUGUUUGCUGUUGUGUUUGAAGUUACAUUUGUAUCCUGAAAAAUAUAUAUUGCCAUUGUUUCUGACCGAAUGUUUAAUAGGGUUUAUUUUAAUAUAUUGUUUAUCCUGGGGCUGAAGGUUUAAAUGAUAGAAAUCAAACUUUGUGCUUAAAAUUAGACAUAUAUGAAACCUUAUUAAAAUAAAGUAACUAAGUUAAUUAACAUGUACAAAGUAAUGUAACUCAUGGCCACUGGAGAGGUAUACUUUGCAUGUCAGUACAUGUUUAAAGUAACGAGGAUAACAUUAUAAUACUUAUUGUAAUGCUGUGUGUUUGUAUGACACUAACAUUUAGCCUAUAGAAUAAUAUAUCAAGAAGAAUAUUUAUUUUUAUAAAUUAAGUAUUCAAUGCUAUUUGCAGACUUUGGUGAUGACACUGUGCAGGCUAUUGUAGCUGCCUUUCCUGAAACCCUUGGCAGAGAGGGCUUUGAUAUGCUGAUUUAGUGAUGACAGAGUGGAAGACUCUCAAGAAGAUGCUUGUUAAAAAGCAUGGUGUAAAGCUUACUGACUGUGACAUAAAAUGGGAUAUGGUGUUUGAAGAGGACUUCCCUAAUAUCAACCUCAUCAAUGACCUGGUGCAAAGCCUCCCUCCUACAAGCGUGUCCUGUUAGACCAGUUCCUCUCAAAUGAAGCUGAUUAAAACAGCACGCAGAUUGAACAUGAGGACACGACAUUAAACAGCCUCAUGCAGAUCAAGUUGUUGUCAUCAGAUGUUGCUGACUUUGAUCCUAAACCAGUUAUUGAUUAUUGGCUGUGUGCAGCAGAGAGACCACAUGGACAUAGGCGGGUCAAUUAUGCACGCAAGAAUGUACAGGAAGGUGUCAGUGUUGUUGCGAGUACUAGCCAUGUCGAGUUGGAAGAAGAUGAAAGCUCGCCAAGUGAAACUGACAUUUUGAAUGCAGUUUAUUGUGGCGUGCAAGACGAUGACUCAGACUGUGUUGUGGAUUUUUAAAAUGAAAAUGAAAUGCUCCUUAAAUCUUUUUGUUCAUAGUGCAAUUAUAAUGAUAAAUGUGUUCAAUAGUUUUCAGAACAUGUUUCAUCAAACUAAACAAGUACCAUGUAUGGCCGCUUUUCGUGUUAUUUUAUUAAUAUAUAUAUGUAGUUGGUAGGUCCUGUAAAAAAGAGGAGGUACUGUAUUUUUUCCCAGUUUAUAGGACCUACUGUCCUGUAAAAAGUUGACUAGUUUGGCGGAGACUGAGUUUUCGCAUCCAUGGCAUCUACGGCGAAAGAUUGCACACAUUAUAAAUAUCAAUAUUUACAGGCGAAUGACAAAUAACUUCAAAAUUAUUCUCUUGAACUUUUUUAAAUAUCCUUAAAUGUCUGUUUGAAUACAUCGGUUUAUUAAUAACACAUUUAAAUAACACUUUUUCAUAUCAAAUGAAAUGUUUGUAUGCCCUUCUGCUUGUUUCUAUAGAAAUCAUGUCAAACGAAGAAUUCUACUAACAAUAUAAGUUGUAUAAUAAAUAAAUUGUGAACAUGCUAAAAAUAAUUAUAAGAAAAUAGAUAAGUGUAAAAAGUAGAUAUUAUUAAAUGUUACUCGAGUCUUAAUUUUUAGGAAAAGCACUUUUGGAAAAUUACAAUCUAGCAUUUCAACACAAUGGAAUUUGUUGUUGUGUUUUGGACAUUGUUGUUGUAUGUAUUGAUGGUGUAAUUGAUAGUGUUUUUUUUAAACAUGAUGUUUGUAUUCUUAUG
Long non-coding RNA from Dreissena polymorpha, 2206 nucleotides. RefSeq lists it as uncharacterized. Lineage: Eukaryota; Metazoa; Mollusca; Bivalvia; Myida; Dreissenidae. The record is from RefSeq and is a predicted model, not a curated record. The transcript is spliced from 3 exons.